This 201-nucleotide long non-coding RNA is filed under the name Lathyrus oleraceus (garden pea). Its description in RNAcentral is "Pisum sativum (pea) long non-coding RNA (PSAT_LNC006138)". Lineage: Eukaryota; Viridiplantae; Streptophyta; Magnoliopsida; Fabales; Fabaceae. The record is from RNAcentral.
UGACUCCACAGGGGACCAAGGUCAUAAUAGGGAGCAGAAAGGAAGGAACACCAGGGAUACCGAUUAGGGCAUAUAAUAGGUGACCGACCGAAGCGUGAAUUGGUAUAUAUACCAAAACACUCAUCAUCCGAAAGGAGGGCUUGAAAAAGCAAAUCGAAUUACAGGAUGGAUAUUCGACUCCACAACGGGAAAACGAAUCUU